Molecule: ribosomal RNA, 497 nt
Filed under: uncultured bacterium
Lineage: Bacteria
Description: partial 16S ribosomal RNA
Rfam family: Bacterial small subunit ribosomal RNA
Source: RNAcentral
GACGAACGCUGGCGGCGUGCCUAAUACAUGCAAGUCGAACGAAAGGACGAGGACCUUGCUUCUCUGAUGUUAGCGGCGGUCGGGUGCGUACCACGUGGUUAACCUACCUAUACGACUGGGAUAACUUCGGGAAACCGGAGCUAAUACCGGAUAAUAUUUUGAACUUCAUUGUUCCAAAGUGAAAGUCGGUCUUGCUGUCACUUAUAGCUGGAUCCGCGUUGCAUUAGUUAGUUGGUAAGGUAACGGCUUAGCAAGGCUACGAUGCAUAGCCGACCUGAACGGGUGAUCGCCCACACUGGAACUGAGACACGGCCCAGACUCCUACGGGGGGCAGCAGUAGGGAAUCUUCCGCAAGGGGGGAAAGCGGGACGGAGCACCGCGGGGGAAGGGAUGAAGGUCUUCGGAUCGGAAAAUGCUGUUAUUAGGAAGGAACAAAUGUGUAAUUAACUGUGCAGAUCUUGACGGUACCUAAUCAGAAAGCCACGGCUAACUACGUG